Long non-coding RNA from Ostrinia nubilalis (European corn borer), 315 nucleotides. RefSeq lists it as uncharacterized. The transcript is spliced from 2 exons. Lineage: Eukaryota; Metazoa; Arthropoda; Insecta; Lepidoptera; Crambidae. The record is from RefSeq and is a predicted model, not a curated record.
UUAGUAAAUAGUAUACACCGGCACCAUGAGGCUAUGGAUACAUUUCACGUUCGCCAUCUUGAUUCUGGUGGCUUACGCCAAUUCUGCUCCAGACAAGAUUCCAGCAUGGCUGUCAGUUCCUGAUAAAAAAGCCCUGGAAGCUUACCUGAAGAACCCCAAUGACCCUAAAUUCACCAAUAGAGUCAAGAGCGGCUUCUUCGUACUGACAGAUGGGAACCUGUUGCCUUUGAGUUCAAUAAAGAACUAGUGAUGAUUUCGGUAUUGAUUUUGAAGGUUAAUUGGUGGAAAUAUAAAGUUGAAAAUUAUUUGUGAAAA